UACGUAGGGUGCGAGCGUUGUCCGGAAUUAUUGGGCGUAAAGAGCUUGUAGGCGGUUUGUCGCGUCUGCCGUGAAAAUUCGAGGCUCAACCUCGAACUUGCGGUGGGUACGGGCAGACUAGAGUGCGGGAGAGGCGAGUGGAAUUCCUGGUGCAGCGGUGAAAUGCGCAGAUAUCAGGAAGAACACCAAUUGCGAAGGCAGCUCGCUGGAACGUAACUGACGCUGAGACGCGAAAGCGUGGGGAGCAAACAGG
RNAcentral lists this ribosomal RNA (253 nucleotides) under uncultured bacterium. RNAcentral's name for it is "partial 16S ribosomal RNA". It matches the Rfam family "Bacterial small subunit ribosomal RNA", at positions 524 to 776 of the family's 1533-position model. The record is from RNAcentral.